RNAcentral lists this ribosomal RNA (497 nucleotides) under uncultured bacterium. RNAcentral describes it as "partial 16S ribosomal RNA". It matches the Rfam family "Bacterial small subunit ribosomal RNA", at positions 28 to 507 of the family's 1533-position model. The record is from RNAcentral.
GACGAACGCUGGCGGCGUGCCUAAUACAUGCAAGUAGAACGCUGAAGGGAGGAGCUUGCUAUUCUUGGAUGAGUUGCGAACGGGUGAGUAAGGAGUAGGUAGCCGGCCUUGUAGGGGGGGGUGACUAUUGGGAACGAUAGCUAAUAUCGCAUAAGAAUGGAUGACGGAUGUCGUUUAUGUGAAAGGGGUUAUUGCUCACCUACAGGGUGGAAGUGCGUUGUAUUAGCUAGUAGGUGAGGUAAUGGCUCAUCUAGGCGACGAUACAUAGACGACCUGAGAGGGUGAUCGGCCACACUGGGACUGAGACACGGCCCAGACCCCUACGGGAGGCAGCAGUAGGGAAUCUUCGGCAAUGGGGGCAACCCUGACCGCGCAACGCCGCGUGAGUGAAGAAGGUUCUCGGAUCGUAAAGCUCUGUUGUAAGUCAAGAACGGGUGUGAGAGUGGAAAGUUCACACUGUGACGGUAGCUUACCAGAAAGGGACGGCUAACUACGUG